GGGUCAGUAGGUUGGUCGUGCCACCGGUACGUACUGGUCUCACUGAUUCCUCCUUCCUGAAGAACCGUAAUGCCAUUAAUUUGGUGUUGCGGGGAAACAGGACUGUUACUUUGAAAAAAUUAGAGUGUUUAAAGCAAGCUAACGCUUGAAUACAUUAGCGUGGAAUAAUGAAAUAGGACGAUCGAUCCUAUUUUGUUGGUUACUAGGAUUGACGUA
Molecule: ribosomal RNA, 216 nt
Filed under: Glomeromycotina sp.
Lineage: Eukaryota; Fungi; Glomeromycota
Description: partial small subunit ribosomal RNA
Rfam family: Eukaryotic small subunit ribosomal RNA (bases 40-216)
Source: RNAcentral